RNAcentral lists this long non-coding RNA (262 nucleotides) under Phoenix dactylifera (date palm). Its description in RNAcentral is "long non-coding RNA (PDAC_LNC018856)". The record is from RNAcentral. Lineage: Eukaryota; Viridiplantae; Streptophyta; Magnoliopsida; Arecales; Arecaceae.
CGUGCCGGUCACGUGGGGCAUGGCGGCUUAGUUCCCCCGUAACAGUAGCCCCCCACUUCCGAGCCUGGAACUAGAAGGGGAACAGGUGAAGGGAGUGAUGUUUCGAGAUUGCCGCCAUUCCUUGGAGAGGCGCGCGCGCUUCGAGCUCCCCGCCUUCUUUAUGGCGUAUGGCGGUUGUUGCUGACCUGGCAGUCUGAGGAUUUCGGCGGACAUCCUUCCUUAAUGGUGUCGAUUCGCCUUUGGGGCGCGAGCGACCCUUCGG